AUUGAACGCUGGCGGCAUGCCUUACACAUGCAAGUCGAACGGCAGCACGGGAGCAAUCCUGGUGGCGAGUGGCGAACGGGUGAGUAAUAUAUCGGAACGUGCCCAGUCGUGGGGGAUAACGUAGCGAAAGCUACGCUAAUACCGCAUACGAUCUAUGGAUGAAAGCGGGGGAUCGCAAGACCUCGCGCGAUUGGAGCGGCCGAUAUCAGAUUAGGUAGUUGGUGAGGUAAAGGCUCACCAAGCCGACGAUCUGUAGCUGGUCUGAGAGGACGACCAGCCACACUGGGACUGAGACACGGCCCAGACUCCUACGGGAGGCAGCAGUGGGGAAUUUGGACAAUGGGCGCAAGCCUGAUCCAGCAAUGCCGCGUGCAGGAUGAA
Molecule: ribosomal RNA, 381 nt
Filed under: uncultured bacterium
Lineage: Bacteria
Description: bacterial SSU rRNA
Rfam family: Bacterial small subunit ribosomal RNA
Source: RNAcentral